RNAcentral lists this ribosomal RNA (372 nucleotides) under uncultured eukaryote. RNAcentral's name for it is "partial 18S ribosomal RNA". It matches the Rfam family "Eukaryotic small subunit ribosomal RNA", at positions 592 to 975 of the family's 1831-position model. The record is from RNAcentral.
CAAUAGCGUAUAUUAAAGUUGUUGCAGUUAAAAAGCUCGUAGUUGAAUUUUUGCUUGCCGCCGAUGUCGGAACUUCCGUACGUUCGGCGGCGUGCAUCCUUGGGUGGAACCUGUGUGGCAUUAGGUUGUCGUGCAGGGGAUGCUCAUCGUUUACUGUGAAAAAAUUAGAGUGUUCAAAGCAGGCUUACGCCGUUGAAUAUAUUAGCAUGGAAUAAUAAGAUAGGACCUUGGUACUAUUUUGUUGGUUUGCGCACCGAGGUAAUGAUUAACAGGGACAGUUGGGGGUAUCCGUAUUCCAUUGUCAGAGGUGAAAUUCUUGGAUUUCUGGAAGACGAACUACUGCGAAAGCAUUUACCAAGGAUGUUUNCAUUA